GCUAUCAUUCCCACACUAAUGCACCAGAUCCCAUCAGAACUCCGAAAUUAAGCGUGCUUAGGCGAGAGCAAUACUAGGAUGGGUGCCCCCCCGGGAAGUCCUCGUGUUGCACCU
RNAcentral lists this ribosomal RNA (114 nucleotides) under Zingiber officinale. The record is from RNAcentral. Lineage: Eukaryota; Viridiplantae; Streptophyta; Magnoliopsida; Zingiberales; Zingiberaceae.